GACGAACGCUGGCGGCGUGCCUAAUACAUGCAAGUUGAGCGCUGAAGGUUGGUACUUGUACCGACUGGAUGAGCAGCGAACGGGUGAGUAACGCGUGGGGAAUCUGCCUUUGAGCGGGGGACAACAUUUGGAAACGAAUGCUAAUACCGCAUAAAAACUUUAAACACAAGGUUUAAGUUUGAAAGAUGCAAUUGCAUCACUCAAAGAUGAUCCCGCGUUGUAUUAGCUAGUUGGUGAGGUAAAGGCUCACCAAGGCGAUGAUACAUAGCCGACCUGAGAGGGUGAUCGGCCACAUUGGGACUGAGACACGGCCCAAACUCCUACGGGAGGCAGCAGUAGGGAAUCUUCGGCAAUGGACGAAAGUCUGACCGAGCAACGCCGCGUGAGUGAAGAAGGUUUUCGGAUCGUAAAACUCUGUUGGUAGAGAAGAACGUUGGUGAGAGUGGAAAGCUCAUCAAGUGACGGUAACUACCCAGAAAGGGACGGCUAACUACGUG
This 497-nucleotide ribosomal RNA is filed under the name uncultured bacterium. RNAcentral's name for it is "partial 16S ribosomal RNA". It matches the Rfam family "Bacterial small subunit ribosomal RNA", at positions 28 to 507 of the family's 1533-position model. The record is from RNAcentral.